RNAcentral lists this ribosomal RNA (361 nucleotides) under uncultured bacterium. RNAcentral's name for it is "partial 16S ribosomal RNA". It matches the Rfam family "Bacterial small subunit ribosomal RNA", at positions 338 to 696 of the family's 1533-position model. The record is from RNAcentral.
CCUACGGGAGGCAGCAGUGAGGAAUAUUGGUCAAUGGCCGGGAGGCUGAACCAGCAAAGCCGCGUGAAGGAAGAAGGAUCUAUGGUUUGUAAGCUUCUUUUUUAGGGGAAUAAAGGUAUUUACGUGUGGAUAUUUGCAUGUACUCUAUGAAUAAGCAUCGGCGAACUACGUGCCAGCAGCCGCGGUAAUACGGAGGAUGGGAGCGUUAUCCGGAUUUAUUGGGUUUAAAGGGUGCGUAGGUUGUUUUUUAAGUCAGCGGUUAAAGUUUGUGGCUCAACCAUAAAAUUGCCGUUGAAACUGGAAGACUUGAGUGUGUUUGAGGUAGGCGGAAUGCGUGGUGUAGCGGUGAAAUGCAUAGAUA